AUUGAACGCUGGCGGCAGGCUUAACACAUGCAAGUCGAGCGGGGGAAGGUAGCUUGCUACUGGACCUAGCGGCGGACGGGUGAGUAAUGCUUAGGAAUCUGCCUAUUAGUGGGGGACAACAUCUCGAAAGGGAUGCUAAUACCGCAUACGUCCUACGGGAGAAAGCAGGGGAUCUUCGGACCUUGCGCUAAUAGAUGAGCCUAGGUCGGAUUAGCUAGUUGGAGGGGUAAAGGCCUACCAAGGCGACGAUCUGUAGCGGGUCGGAGAGGAUGAUCCGCCACACUGGGACUGAGACACGGCCCAGACUCCUCCGGGGGGCAGCAGUGGGGAAUAUUGGACAAUGGGGGGAACCCUGGUCCAGCCAUGCCGCGUGUGUGAAGAAGGCCUUAUGGUUGUAAAGCACUUUAAGCGAGGAGGAGGCUACUUUAGUUAAUACCUAGAGAUAGUGGACGUUACUCGCAGAAUAAGCACCGGCUAACUCUGUGCCAGCCGCCGCAGUAA
This 501-nucleotide ribosomal RNA is filed under the name uncultured bacterium. Its description in RNAcentral is "partial 16S ribosomal RNA". It matches the Rfam family "Bacterial small subunit ribosomal RNA", at positions 30 to 523 of the family's 1533-position model. The record is from RNAcentral.